UCAAGCUAAUAAGAGCGCAAGGGGAAUGCCUUGGCAUCAGGAGCCGACGAAGGACGUGACAAGCUGCGAUAAGCUACGGUGAGGAGCAAAUAUCCUGUGACCCGUAGAUUUCCGAAUGGGGCAACCCGGCUGGACAAUAUCCAGUCAUCCUGCAUUGAAUAAAAUAGGUGUAGGAAGGGAACCGCCUGAACUGAAACAUCUAAGUAGGGCGAGGAAAAGACAUCAACCGAGAUUCCGCAAGUAGUGGCGAGCGAACGCGGAAGAGGCCAAACCAGAGGUCAUUGAUCUCUGGGGUAUGGACUUGCAUCAUGAUCAGAGGUAUCUAGUCGAAUGGCGUGGGAAAGCCAACCACAGAGGGUGAGAGUCCCGUAGACGAAAGAGAAGACUGACAGCGAGUAUCCAGAGUACCGCCGGACACGUGAAACCCGGUGGGAACAUGGGAGGACCACCUUCCAAGCCUAAAUACUACCUGAUGACCGAUAGUGGAGCAGUACCGUGAGGGAAAGGUGAAAAGAACCCCGGGAGGGGAGUGAAAGAGUACCUGAAACCUUGUGCUUACAAGCAGACAUAGCCCGUUAACGGGUGGUGUCGUACUUUUUGUAGAACGGUCCGGCGAGUUAUAGUAACUGGCGAGCUUAAGGUAUUGAGUACCGGAGGCGAAGCGAAAGCGAGUGUUAAGAGCGCGUAUAGAGUCAGUUGCCAUAGACCCGAAACCAGGUGACCUAGCCAUGUCCAGGAUGAAGUGGAGGUAAAGCUCCAUGGAGGUCCGAACCCACGUUCGUUGCAAUGACCGGGGAUGAGGUGUGGCUAGCGGUGAAAUUCCAAACGAACUUGGAGAUAGCUGGUUCUCCCCGAAAUAGUUUUAGGACUAGCGUUGGGUAUGAGUUUAACGGCGGUAAAGCACUGAAUGGGCUAGGGGGCGAUAAGCUUACUGAACCCUAUCAAACUAAGAAUGCCGUAUAAAUGCUUACCAGCAGUCAGACUGCGAGUAAUAAAAUCCGUAGUCAAAAGGGAAACAGCCCAGAUCUACAGCUAAGGUCCCUAAUACAUGCUAAGUGGAAAACGAUGUGAGAUUGCGAAAACAACCAGGAUGUUGGCUUAGAGGCAGCCACUCGUUCAAAGAGUGCGUAAUAGCUCACUGGUCGAGUGAUCUUGCGCGGAAAAUUUAACGGGGCUAAGCAUGUAACCGAAGCUUGGGAUUCACGAUUUAUCGUGAGUGGUAGGGGAGCGUCGAAUACGGGGUGAAGUCGCACCGGAAGGAGCGGUGGACUGUAUUCGAGUGAGAAUGCCGGAAUGAGUAGCGAGAAUUAUGUGGGAAUCAUAAUGGCCGAAAAUCUAAGGUUUCUUGGGGAAGGUUCGUCCGCCCAAGGUAAGUCGGGAGCUAAGCUCAGGCCGAGAGGCGUAGGCGAUGCACAUACGGUAGAAAUUCCGUAACCACCGAAACUUAAACAGAGGGACACUUCGAAAUAGCGGAACCCGGGCGUUGGUUGACCCGGGCGAAAGGGAGCGAAAUUAGAGUAGCGAAGUCCGCGAUGUUCGGAGGCGAGAAAAGCUCUGAGGUAUGCUAAGGUGCCCGUACCGCAAACCGACACAGGUAGAUGAGGAGAGAAUCCUAAGGCCAACGGGAGAAGGGUUGUUAAGGAACUCGGCAAAUUGACCCCGUAACUUCGGAAGAAGGGGAGCCCCCUACGGGGGGUCGCAGAGAAAUGGCCCAAGCAACUGUUUACCAAAAACACAGGUCUAUGCUAAAUCGAAAGAUGACGUAUAUGGGCUGACGCCUGCCCGGUGCCGGAAGGUUAAGAGGAGAUGUCAGGCAACGAAGCAUUGAAUUUAAGCCCCGGUAAACGGCGGCCGUAACUAUAACGGUCCUAAGGUAGCGAAAUUCCUUGUCAGGUAAGUUCUGACCCGCACGAAUGGCGUAAUGAUUUGGGCACUGUCUCAACAGCCCGCCCGGCGAAAUUGUAGUACUGGUGAAGAUGCCAGUUACCCGCA
RNAcentral lists this ribosomal RNA (1992 nucleotides) under human gut metagenome. RNAcentral describes it as "bacterial LSU rRNA". It matches the Rfam family "Bacterial large subunit ribosomal RNA", at positions 3 to 2074 of the family's 2925-position model. The record is from RNAcentral.